GGAUGUGCUGGGCCUGACCAGCCGCCCGCUUUCCUCUUCUCUUGCCUCUGCCUGCCCCCUGGUGGACAGUCGGGGUAAAGCAUGGGAGUGCACCUUUGGGGUCUCAGUGGGGCUGAAAUACGACUCCUCCCCUAGGACAGCCUGCCUCCCCCAGCCUUGUUCUCCGGCAAAGUCAAUUUCCUGGAGAAUCGAGGCUCUGCCUCAGAUGUUCGGAGCCUCCGCAGGAUGAACACCUCCAUUUCAAUUCCAGGGGCCUUGAUCAACCUGUGCCUCCCUUGAUGCCCAUGGGCACCUUCCCUUAAGCAGUGCCCCCACGAGGUACACCUUUCCCGGGAAACAAAAAUCAUUCCUUCUUUGGGUCCUGCAAGCUGUAAAGAACCAAUACAGUACUGAGAUAUUGAACAUGUUGCCACUAUAAAAGCCCCUUGUGUUUCGAAGAGUACAUCUCUAUAGCCAUUCUUUUAUUCAUCAGAAACCAGCUAGAAUCCAGGCCCUGUGCUGGACGCUGGAGACAUGGAAGAAACUGGGCUGAGGCUCCCGCCUUGAAGAGCUUGUGGCCCAGGGAAGGGACAGUUCCUUCCCUGUCCCUUCAAUGGGACAAGGGCAAUCUGUCAUUGAUUGCCACGUGACAGUGUCUAUGAUGCUAAAAAGAUGCCAGUUUUGUGCUGCAGGAGCAAAGGCCGUGGAGGAAGAGGCUUUGGCUUUGUUGCGAGUUCUUGCCAGAGUGAGGCAAAGCCAGUCACCGCUUUGUUCAGAUGACUCAGGUAAAUAAAUGAGGCCGCACAGGCUGUCCUGACACCACACACCUCUAGAAUACCCUGGCUGUGCUGGGAGCUAUUGGUGUCAGCUGAGUAUUUUCAUCCCUGUCCAAGUCACAAUGAUCUGACUGUACCAGCCUGUGUGGAUGUUGCUAAGAGGAGGCAGACAGCACCAUGAGCUCCCUUAGAUGACGAUCGGCAUGAUGAUCCUGCUGUGGCAGCGCUCAGCUCUUGCCAGUGCUCUUCUCUGCUUUGCUCACUUUAAGCCUCCCUUAAUUUUUUUGAAGCCCAGUUUCCACAUUGCUGAUUCACAGAUAUGCAAGACUCAGGCAGGAAAAAAAAAGUGUCUCCUUUUCCAGACUUCUUAGGACUUGGAAAGAAAAUGAAAUGACGUUGAAUGAAAUCAAAGUAAAUUGAGUGAUCUGAAACGAUUUGAUGUCAGCAAGAAUUCCCCAUACAGCUCACAGCCCUCUCCCCAGCAUGCCUCCCUCUUGGGUAUGCUCUCUGCAGGCCCAAACCUUGCAGAAGCCAUUCCAUGUUCCCUGAGCAGGAAAAGACAAACUCAGACCGACAACCUUGGACUUCAAAAGACGGCACACAAGGGGAGGAAGGACUGAGAGUACCAAGGCGUGAAAAUUCAGAAUGCUGCUAUCUCAUUUAUUUUUACCAUUUAGGAACCGUUUUGAUCUGCAUUCUUUUCCCUCCCCUGAUUUCAAAAAAUAAAAAUAAAAAUGCUUCGGUUCUGAGGAGUAACUCUCCA
RNAcentral lists this long non-coding RNA (1518 nucleotides) under Pongo abelii (Sumatran orangutan). RNAcentral describes it as "lincRNA". The record is from RNAcentral. Lineage: Eukaryota; Metazoa; Chordata; Mammalia; Primates; Hominidae.